This 74-nucleotide transfer RNA is filed under the name Acidianus ambivalens. Its description in RNAcentral is "tRNA-Cys". It matches the Rfam family "tRNA". From Rfam's summary of the family: Transfer RNA (tRNA) molecules are approximately 80 nucleotides in length. Their secondary structure includes four short double-helical elements and three loops (D, anti-codon, and T loops). Further hydrogen bonds mediate the characteristic L-shaped molecular structure. tRNAs have two regions of fundamental functional importance: the anti-codon, which is responsible for specific mRNA codon recognition, and the 3' end, to which the tRNAs corresponding amino acid is attached (by aminoacyl-tRNA synthetases). tRNAs cope with the degeneracy of the genetic code in two manners: having more than one tRNA (with a specific anti-codon) for a particular amino acid; and 'wobble' base-pairing, i.e. permitting non-standard base-pairing at the 3rd anti-codon position. The record is from RNAcentral. RNAcentral also lists the same sequence under 3 other names. Lineage: Archaea; Thermoproteati; Thermoproteota; Thermoprotei; Sulfolobales; Sulfolobaceae.
GCCCCCGUAGGCCAGCAAGGUAGACCACCGGCCUGCAGAGCCGGUUGUCGCAGGUUCGAGUCCUGCCGGGGGCU